CAGCAGUAGCCGCGGUAAAACGGAGGGUGCUAGCGUUGUUCGGAAUCACUGGGCGUAAAGGGCGCGUAGGCGGCCUGUUAAGUCGGAUGUGAAAGCCCGGGGCUCAACCCCGGAACUGCAUCCGAGACUGGCAGGCUUGAGACCGGGAGAGGAGGGUGGAAUAUCCAGUGUAGAGGUGAAAUUCGUAGAUAUUGGAUGGAACACCGGUGGCGAAAGCGGCUCUCUGGCCCGGAUCUGACGCUGAGGCGCGAAAGCGUGGGGAGCAAACAGGAUUAGAUACCCCCGUAGUCCCUGUCUCUUAUAC
RNAcentral lists this ribosomal RNA (304 nucleotides) under uncultured bacterium. Its description in RNAcentral is "partial 16S ribosomal RNA". It matches the Rfam family "Bacterial small subunit ribosomal RNA", at positions 506 to 807 of the family's 1533-position model. The record is from RNAcentral.